This 282-nucleotide unclassified non-coding RNA is filed under the name uncultured fungus. RNAcentral describes it as "sequence contains ITS2". The stretch from base 1 to 52 matches the Rfam family "5.8S ribosomal RNA", at positions 103 to 154 of the family's 154-position model. The record is from RNAcentral. Lineage: Eukaryota; Fungi.
AACGCACCUUGCGCUCCUUGGUAUUCCGAGGAGCAUGCCUGUUUGAGUGUCGUGAAAUCAUCAACUCAUUUUACUUUUGUGAAUUGAGCUUGGAUUUGGAAGUUGCUGGCUCUUGAAGCAAGCUCUUCUUGAAUAUAUUAGCUGGAUCUGAUUUGCAGCAUAUAUGCGGUGUGAUAAUGUCUUCACUGUGUAGCUCAAGUCAUUUGGCUUCUAAUCGUCCUUUAAGGACAAUCUUGACUAUCAAGACCUCAAAUCAGGUAGGACUACCCGCUGAACUUAAGC